UUGAUACAUCUAUUUUUUUUGAGUGCUCUGAUAUUUUUGAUAAUUUUAUUUUUGCUUGAAUGCCAAAAUACCUCGAUACAUCCAUUUUUGAUUUUAUAAAAUACUCCAAAUUCUUCUCUUUUAAUUCUUGGUUUUAUCCUUGCUUUGAUAUCAAAAUGAGAAAAAGGGAAAGAAACAUUCUUUUUACAUUUAUUGCUCUGAUAUUAAAAAUAAAGAAGAAAAGAAUAAAAUUUUUUUAUGAACCAUCUCUGCUUCAAUAAAAUUUUUUUUUAUAAAUUGAACAGUCUUUAUAUAAGAAAGGAGG
Molecule: long non-coding RNA, 304 nt
Filed under: Elaeis guineensis (African oil palm)
Lineage: Eukaryota; Viridiplantae; Streptophyta; Magnoliopsida; Arecales; Arecaceae
Description: long non-coding RNA (EGUI_LNC014764)
Source: RNAcentral